RNAcentral lists this ribosomal RNA (253 nucleotides) under uncultured bacterium. RNAcentral describes it as "partial 16S ribosomal RNA". It matches the Rfam family "Bacterial small subunit ribosomal RNA", at positions 524 to 776 of the family's 1533-position model. The record is from RNAcentral.
UACGGAGGGUGCGAGCGUUGUCCGGAAUCACUGGGCGUAAAGGGCGCGUAGGCGGCCUGGUAAGUAGGGGGUGAAAUCCUGCGGCUUAACCGCAGGGCUGCCUUCUAAACUGUCAGGCUCGAGCACGGUAGAGGCAGAUGGAAUUCCCGGUGUAGCGGUGGAAUGCGUAGAGAUCGGGAAGAACAUCAGUGGCGAAGGCGGUCUGCUGGGCCGUUGCUGACGCUGAGGCGCGAAAGCGUGGGGAGCAAACGGG